UUCAGGAUUAGUUAUCGCCCUAUUACUGGGUUGUACUUCUACCCUUCUUAACGAACAGCUAUCAUUUUAUUAAGUUAAUGUGGUAGUCUAUCGUUUCUUUUACUUUGAGAAAAUUAGAGUGUUCAAAGCAGGUUUUUGCCCGAAUAUUACUCUUGGAAUAAUACUAUAGGACCUUAGACUUAUUUGAUGGUGAGUAGGACUGAGGUAAUGAUUGAUAGGGACGGUUGGGGUCAUUCGUACUGUAAAGCGAGCGGUGAAAUGCAUGGACCUUUAUAUGACGACCUACUGCGAAAGCAUUUGACUAGGACGUUCCCGUUGAUCAAGAACGAAAGUUGGGGGAUCGAAGACGAUCAGAUACCGUCGUAGUCUCAACCAUAAACUAUGCCAGCUAGGGAUUGGAAGUCGAUCUUAUUUAUGACACUUUCAGCACCUUAUGAGAAAUCAAAGCAUUUGGGUUCCGGGGGGAGUAUGGUCGCAAGGCUGAAACUUAAAGGAAUUGACGGGAGGGCACCACCAGGAGUGGAGCCUGCGGCUUAAUUUGAUUCAACACGGGAAAACUUACCAGGUCCGGACAAAGUAAGGAUUGACAGAUUGAAAGCUCUUUCUUGAUUCUUUGGGUGGUGGUGCAUGGCCGUUCUUAGUUGGUGGAGUGAUUUGUCUGGUUAAUUCCGUUAACGAACGAGACCUCAGCCUGCUAAAUAGUGUUUUCAUCUUUGGAUGCUUAUACUUCUUAGAGGGACUACUUAUGCUAUAACUGAGCGGAAGCUUGAGGCAAUAACAGGUCUGUGAUGCCCUUAGAUGUUCUGGGCCGCACGCGGGCUACACUGGUGAUCUCAACAAGCCUUCACUUGGUUGAAAAGCCAGGUUAAUCUUUGAAAUAUCACCGUGCUUGGGAUAGACUAUUGCAAUUUUUAGUCUUCAACGAGGAAUUCCUAGUAAACGCGAGUCAUCAGCUCGCAUUGAUUACGUCCCUGCCCUUUGUACACACCGCCCGUCGCUCUACCGAUUGGAUGAUUCGGUAAGCAUUUGAGAUCUAGUCUGACUCUCCUAACGAAGCUUCUGACCGGA
Molecule: ribosomal RNA, 1068 nt
Filed under: uncultured eukaryote
Lineage: Eukaryota
Description: partial 18S ribosomal RNA
Rfam family: Eukaryotic small subunit ribosomal RNA
Source: RNAcentral